ACCUGGUUCCAUAAGCGUGCACACACUUAUAACUGGGGAUGUGGCUGGGUUCAGAAUUAACCAAUCACAUUCAAACUCAUGUUAAAUAGAAGUCAUUACACACCUGCCAUCAUUUAAAGUGACUCUAAUCAAUCACAAAUAAAGUUCAGCUGUUCUAGUAGGAUUGUCCUGACAUUUUCUUAGUUGCAUCUUAGAGCAAAAGCCAUGGUCCGCGGAGAGCUUUCAAAGCAUCAGAGGGAUCUCAUUGUUCAAAGAUUUCAGUCAGGAGAAAGGUACAAAAUAAGAUAUACCAUGAAACACAGUGAAGACAGACAUCAUCAAGUGGAGAAAAUAUGGCACAACGGAGACAUUACCAAGAACUGGACGUCCCUUCAUAAUUGAUGAAAAGACGAGAAGAAAACUGGUCAGGGAGGCUUCCAAGAGGCCUACAGCAGCAUUAAAGGAACUGCAGGAAUUUCUGGCAAGUACUGGCUGUGUGCUACAUGUGACAACAAUCUCCCGUAUUCUUCAUGUGAAUGGGCUAUGGGGUAGGGUGGCAAGACGGAAGCCUUUUCUUACAAAGAAAAACCUCUAAGCCCGACUGAAGUUUGCAAAAACAAACAUCAAGUCUACCAAAAGCAUGUGGGAAACAUGUUAUGGUCUGAUGAAACCAAGGUUGAACCUUUUGGCCAUAAUUCCAAAAGGUAUGUUUGGUGCAAAAACAACACUGCACAUCACCCAAAGAACACCAUACCCACAGUGAAGCAUGGUGGUGGCAGCAUCAUGCUUUGGGGCUGUUUUUCUUCAGCUGGAACCGGGGCCUUAGUCACUGUGGGGGGAAUUAUGAACAGUUCCAAAAAACCUUCAAGCAUCCGUUAGAAAGCUGAAGAUGAAGUUCACCUUUCAGCACGAAAACGACCCAAAGCACACAUUCAAAUCCACAAAAGCAUGGCUUCACCAGAAGAAUAUUUUGGAAUGGCCCAGCCAGAGCCCAGACCUGAAUCCAAUUGAACAUCUGUGGGGUGAUCUGAAAAGGGCUCUGCACAGGAGAUCGUAAUCUGACAGAUUUGGAGCACUUUUGCAAAGAAGAGCGGGAAAAUAUUGCCAUGCCAAGAUGUGCCAUGCUAAUAGACUCCUACACCAAAAGACUGAGUGCUGUAAUAAAAUCAAAAGGUGCUUCAACAAAGUAUUAGUUAAAAGGUGUAAAGACUUAUGCAACCAGGUUAUUGUGGGGUUUUUAUUUUUUGUUUUUCCCCCUCAAAGAUUUUAGUUUGUUUUUCAAUUUAAUUGUUCACGUUAUAGGUCACAUUAAAGGUAGAAAAAGUUCUGACAUGAUUUUUCUUUAUCUCAUUCUUUUACAUCACAAGAACCUGGCAUUUUAACAGGGGUGUGUAGACUUUUUAUAUCCACUGUAUAUUGUGUGUGUACAUGGUGUAUAUGUAUGUGUCUGGUUGGGCUGCCAAUAUGUACCAUGUUUUCCCCACACAUAAACACACAUCCCCCCAUACAUGCACACACACACACACACACACACAAGCACAAACACUUCAAAGGGCUUAAGAGCAGAUGACAGCUUAUUUCCAGGACACAGAUAAUUCAGAGGGCUCAGUGCCGUAAUUAGCAUUGACAGGUGAAAAUAUGUGUGAACGGCUGAGAUUGUAUCAGCACAGCCAUCUAGUGUAAACACAAGCGCUACAGUACAUCCAUCCACGGCCACUAACACCACAUUAAGACCAGAAAGCACAAAUAUAUUGCCUCGUCCACGUUUAGCGUACCGCCCGCUGUUUCCCUCCUGAUACCUCUGAUCCCCUGUGCUUUGACAGGGCGUAAUAAAGACUACGGAGCGGCUGCAUUGUGUGGGGGAACACAGUGUUGCAUGCUGAGCGCUGUGUGAAGGGCGUCCACUGUUGGGUCCCACGGCGCAGCGGCGCACCAGGCCCUAUAGCGGGGAGUGCUGUGCAUGCUAAUGAGGUCAUUAUGUUGAGGGCUGGCCGGGCGGGCAAAGCAGGCGUGGGCUUAGCUCCCCUCCUCUGCCGCCAUUACCGUGGGGGGACUUAGCAAGUGUGCUAGUCAGGCACCUAGCCGCAGCCAAUCACAGAUGUCACAUGCAGCACAAUGAGCAGACAGGCAGACAGUCACUGACUGCCGCCCCGCGAUUCGCUCACAUCAAAAGCAGCAGCGGUAAUGCUAUCAACGCCCGGCGUAAAACAGACGGGCUCGGAUGAAAGAGGAAAGACAGGAGGGGUGCAGCAACAAGAAACAUUUGUCCCGUGAUUCUCCUGAGCGCCUUAAUUCACACGACGGCACGGCUGGUCCCUACCAACAUCCUCGGCCUAAGACUCAAGCGUAUGCAAAUGCUUUUACGGGCUAUUUGCAUACCCGUUAUUGAUUAAGCAGAUGGAGGACGUUAAACGCGGCCCACAGUCGCCAUCUUGGCUGAGCAGACAGCUGGCAGACAGUGGCAGCCAUUUUGUAGGCACGCGGCACGGCGCUGCCAGGCUGAGACACAGCGUGGCGCCCGUCCCUCUAUGCCAGCAGAUUGGUGGGGACUCUUAAUAACGCUUGCCAGUAAGCAAUGCAACUAUUUCCUCAUUCAAUUAAGGAAUUAUCACAGCCAAGGGCUUUAUGUCUAAGCAGUGGAAGUGGUGCAGAGUUCUAGGUCAUACUGUAUUUUUAUACUGUAUGACAUGAUAAGCAGAGGCCUGGAUUUGACUUAUUUCUUCUUUUAAAUAGACCUAAAACUUUUUAUAUCGCAUUUUAAUGUAUACCCAGCUAUCUUCAGAUAACAUAUGACAUUGGUGUAAAAGGCUCAAACAAUGGUACACUAAAACGGUAUGCCUACUUACCAUUUGAAAUCAUCAGCGUUGUGUUGUUCCUAGGUCUCUCUCUGGGAAGGUGCUUCAGGCUCCAAACAGCAAUGUCCCCUUUGUCCUCUUAAGCCCAGCCGGCAUUGAGAAUCAUUAUCUUCUCCAAUGAAACAUUUUAAUUCUGCUUUAUGUGUAACUGGCUUUCCAUUCAGCCCUCACAUAGUCAUUCUCCUUCCACCGGAUCUUUUCAUCCUUUUUUCAGUAUCUAAAGAUAGUGGUUCUUGUGUGAAGAGGAUUCUUUAAAUAUGUAGGCGAAAGUCACAUGAAACAGAACCAGUGGAGAGGGUCACAUUUCAGGCACUAUACUUUAUGUCCACUGUCCUUUUCAUCUGCACUCAAUUAGGACUCAUUCACUCCUGAGUGUUGUUCAGUGUACAGUGAAGGGGUUUUCUGGUCUCAUCACCACAGACAGUGAACGGUCCUGCAUCAAAACCAGCACCUCUUCUUUCUCCGUUUGGAUCAAUAACAUCUCCCAUAUCGUCUGAUAGUACCGGGAGUCGUGAGUAAGAAAAUGGGAGUUGAAAAAAAGGACUGAUUUGAAUCUGCAAGAGGAAAACAAUUUCUAAUUGUCCUUUUAUCCUGGUUCAUCAGAUGUGGAGUGCUCAGUGGUUGUACAUGCUUAGGAGGGAAGUGAAGAAAGAGAGGCCUGUUCAAUUAAAUAUAAGAGGCCUUUGCACUGAACUCUCAUUCAAACAGUCAGGUGGGAUGGGUAAGAAUGAGUAACCAGAGGAAAAAAUUGAAGAAAAACCUUUGACGUUAGUUUUUUCAUUCUCUCUCAUUCGCUCUCUUGCUAGCAGCCAAAGUUUUAUCAAGCGGUCAUGGGUCAGGAAAGCCCCUCCGGCAGAACCACACACACAGACAUGCUCAAACACACACCCACCCACACACACAAACAUACACAGGGUGGUUAGGGUUAGGGCCCUGGCUGGUUGUGAGACUUGGAAAGGGCUGGACCGCUGGGUCCCUGGGCACUACAGCCAGAGGCGUUUCUGGGCGACCCCUGCUAGCCUCACUCCUCCGUAUUGAUUCGCUGCUCCGUGCUGCCGAAGAGCAGGUUGCCAGCGGGGACGAGAGCCCGCCUUGCCUCGGCUCGUCUGCCCACUUCGCCGCUGCUUGGCUGGCCUCAGUCAGCUCCCUGAGACCCCGGCACAGAGCAGAGGGCCACGGGGGGAGCCAGAGCCCAUGGCCAUCCACAGAUGGGUUCUCCUGCUCCCUGGUUCACUGUUCACCGCUCCAUUCCUCCAUUCCGUUCCUUCAACCCACUCUCCUCCUCGUCCUCCUCUUUUUCACUCUGUCUCUCCUCUUCCUGCACACAAACAACAAGACAAGGAGAAGAAAAAAAGUUGAGCUUAACUUGCAGCAUUUUGCCCACUCCAGAUGUCAACCUUGUGCUUUGAUCGGAGAGAUGUGGGGGGUGAAUAUUUUGGCAUCCUCACAGUCUGUAAUGUGAACUUCAUCACCCUCUGUGUGAAGAAAAGCUGAAAUGGGAGAAUGUUGAGUUAAGUGUGUCAGGCAGGAAGAAACUGGCUGCCAAGUGUACUCUGGGCUAUUACUCUGAUGCCUUCUCUCCACAGCAGCCAGUGACAGCAUUUGGGCCUAUUAUAAAAAUCACCAUAUAGCACUGGUGGAAUUCAGAAAAAAUGCCCCUGAACAAAAUGCACUCUUUACCAAUAACCUCCUAUAGCCCUGCCCCAAAGGUCCACCAAGUUUUAGGUAAUUUGCUAUUGUCAGUAAAUGGUAACCCCCACCAAAAAAAAAGAAAGACUUCACAGACAUAGCUGUUUGGCAUAUUGAAUGUGGAAGAAUGUGAGUGAAACACGCUCACAUUGUUGUCAGAAACUUUGUUAAAAAACACUUGUGCUUUUCUAUUGUCUAAAAUUAUUCAAAUGGUUUCAGCACCCUCUUAUUAUGCAAAUGACAGUCGGGGACAUUUCUUCAUGGAAUCUCAGCCCCAUUGUGUACGCCAACUGUGAAGACCACAGCUAAACACCCGCCUUCCCCACUUGCCACCUUCAUCACUGCACUACCACCUAAUAACCUAGAGGGCUCGUCUCCUCACUUCCACUGUCACAAACAAACACAAAUAUUGUUGUUGCGCAGGGAAUAAAUAAACUGUUAUGUACUCUUUUAGAGAGUUGAUGGGCCUUUGGAAGCUGAGAGUUAGGAGGACAAAAAAAAAACUGGGCUGUUUGGACAAGAGAGGGGUAUGUUAGGGGUACGGACAGGGGGAGAUGAGGGGGGACCGAGGGGAGGCCGGGGUGAGGUGCAUGUCUCAGACACAAUAAUACUAUUCAUUGGGCUCAGACAUGGGUGUUAACUCCCCUCUGCCAGGACACAAUGAGGCUCCCCUGCAUUCAGACAGCCUUGGUGAUAUUGUUAGUUCAGGACCGCAUUCUCCCGGCUGCAGGAUACAGCGGACACAUUGUGGCGGGCCAACACGAUGGACGGAGGGAGUCUUGAGAGGUGAAAGGCAAAAAAAAG
This is a long non-coding RNA of Esox lucius (northern pike), 5327 nucleotides long. The record is from Ensembl. Lineage: Eukaryota; Metazoa; Chordata; Actinopteri; Esociformes; Esocidae.